AUCAGAUCUGACUUCCAAUUCCAAGCGAGAAAGCGAGAGAGCGAGAGGAAGUCUGAGAGAGUAGAGAACUCCUAGGUUCCGUCGCUCGCGUCUCUGGGUAGACGACAUUCGAGAAUGGAGCCCUAUGGCAAAAUACGAACCCUAAAUCAUUUUCAUUGCCUUGUCAGGAGCUUGAUCCGGAUACGAAUAAGGCCAUGAUUUAGGGUUUCGGAUGGUGCAAGGAGAACGGUGAGAUUGUUGGUCUCUGCGUCGACGAUGAAGAUGACAACAAUCCAGAAUGUAGCCAUGUCGCGCGGAUCACGAUCUGUCUCAGAUUACGGUAAGAGUCUGAAUCACUGAUUUAAACCCUAAUUUUGAGUGCUAGAUUUACACUAGUAGCAAGAAUCCAUUUUAUACCUGUUUGGAGAAAAAGAAAAGGUUCAAUUUCCCCUAUGUAGGCAGUUUUUGACUAUUUUUUAAUCGGAAUAUUUUGAUUAGUUUCUGAUGUAAAAUACUUGAAAUUUGUGUUCAUAUAUAUAUCUAACUUUGUUUUUACUUUAGCCUCUGUGCUUAAUAUUUAAACACUACUUUUGGAGUUUCAACCAUUGUUAAGUUGAUUGAAAACGAGCAUUCGGUUUUCAAUUUGUCUACGGAACAUGCACGAAUAACUCCCUAGGGUAUUAUGCGCUUUAGGUUUUCAUUUUAUAAGUUGGACAGUUUUUUAGUUCUAUAUUGUUUAGGGCUUAAGAGUUAUAUUAUGGAUUACUUUUUAAGUAUCUGUAGAUUCCAUUAUGGAGCUCGCCUCAUAUGAUGUGGUGGUUUGCUGGCCUUCUGGUCAAUGAUGCUUAUAAUGCGUAAAGUCUCACAUUUUGAUGUCUAGUCAUGCAUCCAAGCAGGUUAUCUUACCUGACGGUCAUGCAUCCACUUUUAGCACACCCAUUCUCUUUCCCACACCUUACUCGGACAGGAUCUGUUCUAUAGUAAUCGUACCUCUGUAUCCUUGAUUUCUAAGGAGACAGGAAUCGUAAUAAUCUACAUGCUUGGCUUCUGUUUGAUGCGUCUAGUACAUGUGUGUGUGUGUAUAUAUGAAUCAUUAAUGGCUGGCAUUUUUACAUUUCUAUGCACAAAAUUGAUUUGGUAAUGAGAAAAGGCCCUUUAUAUUCUUGGCAGACUUUAGUUUCCCCCCUUUUCUUCUUUGUGGUUCUUAUUCCUUAUUGAUGAAUGUGCAGGUCAUACAUUUAACCGAGCCCACUGAGCCUCAUUGACGUUCGAGUUUGGUUAUGGGAUGUUACAUUUUACGGAUGGGUUUCCUUCAAACAAUGUACCAGUUGCUUAACGUUGUUUCAGAGGUUUCUGUCCUGCCUCUAUAAUGCAUUCAUUCUUCCUUUUUUCUUGCUCCAACUAAAGUUUCUUGUUUAAUUAAAAAAAACCUUUUUAAAAAAAAAUUUGAGGCAUGAAAGUGAUAUCAUUUGGUUUUACGUUACUUGAUUUUUUCUUUGGGUCGCUAUCCAAGUGUGUGACACUUUGUUCUACUUCGACUUACUUCUUUCUCAUUGGUCUUGCAGGCGUUUUUCAAAUUUCCGUCAUUGUUUGCAGUUUUUUUUCCGCAUUGCAUGGUCUCUUUGUGUGUGUGUGUGUGUGUGUCUCUCUCUCUCUCUCUCUCUCUCUCUCUCUCUCUCACAUCUCUCAUCCGUCUCCUCAUAUCUCCUUUCAUAAGUUUCGGUUUAGGCGGUGGGAAAAUGAAGGCAAAGGAUGAAAGUCAAAUGAGAAAGAGGAUUGGAGUUGAAGCACAGCUGGCAUGGUUUUUCCAAGUGUUUUUUAAUCUCUUUUUUGUUUAGUUUGUUUUAGUUCUAUGAUUGAGUAUUUCGAAUUUUUUUUUUUUUUUUCAAUUUGCAGUCGAUAUUUUAAUUUCUUUUAAAAUGGAAACGUCAUUACAUGUUAGGAGUUACACACUGGAUGACUGAAUGGUCGGCCCCAAAAUCCCAGUAGGUCUGGUGACUCCCAGUAGGUCCGAUUCCGUGUUUCAGUAUCAUCAAAUUUUCUCUAGUAUUGUUGAUGGCGGAUCCAUUCACCAUUACAAACUCAUUAUUUUAAAAAUUG
Molecule: long non-coding RNA, 2079 nt
Filed under: Prunus dulcis (almond)
Lineage: Eukaryota; Viridiplantae; Streptophyta; Magnoliopsida; Rosales; Rosaceae
Description: sRNA ncRNA
Source: RNAcentral